This 301-nucleotide ribosomal RNA is filed under the name uncultured bacterium. Its description in RNAcentral is "partial 16S ribosomal RNA". It matches the Rfam family "Bacterial small subunit ribosomal RNA", at positions 509 to 807 of the family's 1533-position model. The record is from RNAcentral.
CAGUAGCCACGGGAAUACAGAGGGUGCAAGCGUUAAUCGGAAUUACUGGGCGUAAAGCGCGCGUAGGUGGUUUGUUAAGUUGGAUGUGAAAGCCCCGGUCUCAACCUGGGAACUGCAUCCAAAACUGGCAAGCUAGAGUACGGUAGAGGGUGGUGGAAUUUCCUGUGUAGCGGUGAAAUGCGUAGAUAUAGGAAGGAACACCAGUGGCGAAGGCGACCACCUGGACUGAUACUGACACUGAGGUGCGAAAGCGUGGGGAGCAAACAGGAUUAGAUACCCGAGUAGUCCCUGUCUCUUAUAC